Molecule: ribosomal RNA, 461 nt
Filed under: uncultured Methylomirabilota bacterium
Lineage: Bacteria; Methylomirabilota (SeqCode)
Description: bacterial SSU rRNA
Rfam family: Bacterial small subunit ribosomal RNA
Source: RNAcentral
GGGCUUGACAUCCCACGAACCUGCCUGAAAGGGUAGGGUGCCCGCAAGGGAGCGUGGAGACAGGUGGUGCAUGGCUGUCGUCAGCUCGUGUCGUGAGAUGUUGGGUUAAGUCCCGCAACGAGCGCAACCCUCACCCCUAGUUGCCACCGGGUAAAGCCGAGCACUCGAGGGGAACUGCCAGCGUCAAGCUGGAGGAAGGCGGGGAUGACGUCAAGUCAUCAUGCCCCUUACGUCCUGGGCUACACACGUGCUACAAUGGCCAGUACAGAGGGAUGCGAGACCGCGAGGUGGAGCUAAUCCCAAAAAGCUGGUCUAAGUUCAGAUUGCAGUCUGCAACUCGACUGCAUGAAGUAGGAAUCGCCAGUAAUCGCGCAUCAGCACGGCGCGGUGAAUACGUUCCCGGGCCUUGUACACACCGCCCGUCACACCACGAAAGCUGGCUGUACUCGAAGUCGCUGAGA